GGGGGGUUUCGGAUUAUUGGGCGUAAGCGCGCGUAGGCGGCUUGUUAAGCGAGAUGUGAAAACCGGGGGCUCAACCCGCGGCCUGCAUCUCGAACUGGCAGGCUUGAGUCUGGUAGAGGAAAGUGGAAUUCCUGGUGUAGCGGUGAAAUGCGCAGAUAUCAGGAGGAACACCAGUGGCGAAGGCGGCUUUCUGGGCCACGACUGACGCUGAGGCGCGAAAGCUAGGGGAGCAAACAGGAUUAGAUACCCUGGUAGUCCUAGCCGUAAACGAUGGGCACUAGGUGUGGGGGGUCAUCGACUCCCUCCGUGCCGAAGCUAACGCAUUAAGUGCCCCGCCUGGGGAGUACGGCCGCAAGGCUAAAACUCAAAGGAAUUGACGGGGGCCCGCACAAGCAGCGGAGCAUGUGGCUUAAUUCGACGCAACGCGAAGAACCUUACCAGGGCUUGACAUGCAGGGAAAAGCGGCGGAAACGUCGUGUCCGCAAGGGCCCUGCACAGGUGGUGCAUGGCUGUCGUCAGCUCGUGUCGUGAGCUGUUGGGUUAAGUCCCGCAACGAGCGCAACCCUCGCCAUUAGUUGCCAUCAUUAAGUUGGGCACUCUAGUGGGACUGCCGGUGAUAAGCCGGAGGAAGGUGGGGGUGACGUCAAGUCAUCAUGGCCCUUACGGGCUGGGCUACACACGUGCUACAAUGGCGGUGACAAUGCGCAGCCACCUAGCGAUAGGGAGCUAAUCGCAAAAAGCCGUCUCAGUUCGGAUUGGUCUCUGCAACCCGAGACCAUGAAGUUGGAAUCGCUAGUAAUCGCGCAUCAGCAUGGCGCGGUGAAUACGUUCCCGGGCCUUGUACACACCGCCCGUCACACCAUGGGAGUUGGUUUUACCCGAAGGCGAUGCGCCAACCGCAAGGAGGCAGUCGACCACGGUAAGGUCAGCGACUGGGGUGAAGUCGUAACAAGG
This 954-nucleotide ribosomal RNA is filed under the name uncultured bacterium. RNAcentral's name for it is "bacterial SSU rRNA". It matches the Rfam family "Bacterial small subunit ribosomal RNA", at positions 538 to 1496 of the family's 1533-position model. The record is from RNAcentral.